This 405-nucleotide ribosomal RNA is filed under the name uncultured bacterium. RNAcentral describes it as "partial 16S ribosomal RNA". It matches the Rfam family "Bacterial small subunit ribosomal RNA", at positions 28 to 526 of the family's 1533-position model. The record is from RNAcentral.
GAUGAACGCUGGCGGCGUGCAUACUACAUGCAAGUCGAGCGAAGCGGGGACGGGUGAGUAACACGUGGAUAACCUCCUCUCAGACUGGGAUAACUUCGGGAAACCGGAGCUCAACCGGAUACUUAUAGUUGGAUCCGCGCUGCAUUAGCUAGUUGGUAAGGUAACGGCUUACAAAGGCAACGAUGCAUAGCCGACCUGAGAGGUGGACGGGCCACACUGGAACGGGGACACGGUCCAGACUCCUACGGGAGGCAGAAGGGGGGAAUUUCCGGAAAUGGGCGAAAGCCUGACGGAGAAACGCCGCGUGAGUGAGUAAGGUCUUCGGAUCGUAAAACUAGUUUAUUAGGGAGGCGGUACCUAAUCAGAAAGCCACGGCUAACUACGUGCCAGCAGCCGCGGUAAUUC